AAAUUGAAGAGUUUGAUCAUGGCUCAGAUUGAACGCUGGCGGCAGGCCUAACACAUGCAAGUCGAACGGUAACAGGAAGAAGCUUGCUUCUUUGCUGACGAGUGGCGGACGGGUGAGUAAUGUCUGGGAAACUGCCUGAUGGAGGGGGAUAACUACUGGAAACGGUAGCUAAUACCGCAUAACGUCGCAAGACCAAAGAGGGGGACCUUCGGGCCUCUUGCCAUCGGAUGUGCCCAGAUGGGAUUAGCUUGUUGGUGGGGUAACGGCUCACCAAGGCGACGAUCCCUAGCUGGUCUGAGAGGAUGACCAGCCACACUGGAACUGAGACACGGUCCAGACUCCUACGGGAGGCAGCAGUGGGGAAUAUUGCACAAUGGGCGCAAGCCUGAUGCAGCCAUACCGCGUGUAUGAAGAAGGCCUUCGGGUUGUAAAGUACUUUCAGCGGGGAGGAAGGGAGUAAAGUUAAUACCUUUGCUCAUUGACGUUACCCGCAGAAGAAGCACCGGCUAACUCCGUGCCAGCAGCCGCGGUAAUACGGAGGGUGCAAGCGUUAAUCGGAAUUACUGGGCGUAAAGCGCACGCAGGCGGUUUGUUAAGUCAGAUGUGAAAUCCCCGGGCUCAACCUGGGAACUGCAUCUGAUACUGGCAAGCUUGAGUCUCGUAGAGGGGGGUAGAAUUCCAGGUGUAGCGGUGAAAUGCGUAGAGAUCUGGAGGAAUACCGGUGGCGAAGGCGGCCCCCUGGACGAAGACUGACGCUCAGGUGCGAAAGCGUGGGGAGCAAACAGGAUUAGAUACCCUGGUAGUCCACGCCGUAAACGAUGUCGACUUGGAGGUUGUGCCCUUGAGGCGUGGCUUCCGGAGCUAACGCGUUAAGUCGACCGCCUGGGGAGUACGGCCGCAAGGUUAAAACUCAAAUGAAUUGACGGGGGCCCGCACAAGCGGUGGAGCAUGUGGUUUAAUUCGAUGCAACGCGAAGAACCUUACCUGGUCUUGACAUCCACGGAAGUUUUCAGAGAUGAGAAUGUGCCUUCGGGAACCGUGAGACAGGUGCUGCAUGGCUGUCGUCAGCUCGUGUUGUGAAAUGUUGGGUUAAGUCCCGCAACGAGCGCAACCCUUAUCCUUUGUUGCCAGCGGUCCGGCCGGGAACUCAAAGGAGACUGCCAGUGAUAAACUGGAGGAAGGUGGGGAUGACGUCAAGUCAUCAUGGCCCUUACGACCAGGGCUACACACGUGCUACAAUGGCGCAUACAAAGAGAAGCGACCUCGCGAGAGCAAGCGGACCUCAUAAAGUGCGUCGUAGUCCGGAUUGGAGUCUGCAACUCGACUCCAUGAAGUCGGAAUCGCUAGUAAUCGUGGAUCAGAAUGCCACGGUGAAUACGUUCCCGGGCCUUGUACACACCGCCCGUCACACCAUGGGAGUGGGUUGCAAAAGAAGUAGGUAGCUUAACCUUCGGGAGGGCGCUUACCACUUUGUGAUUCAUGACUGGGGUGAAGUCGUAACAAGGUAACCGUAGGGGAACCUGCGGUUGGAUCACCUCCUUACCUUAAAGAAGC
RNAcentral lists this ribosomal RNA (1554 nucleotides) under Escherichia coli. RNAcentral's name for it is "bacterial SSU rRNA". It matches the Rfam family "Bacterial small subunit ribosomal RNA". Lineage: Bacteria; Pseudomonadati; Pseudomonadota; Gammaproteobacteria; Enterobacterales; Enterobacteriaceae. The record is from RNAcentral.